UGGGGAAUAUUGGACAAUGGGCGCAAGCCUGAUCCAGCAAUGCCGCGUGUGUGAAGAAGGCCUUCGGGUUGUAAAGCACUUUUAUCAGGAGCGAAACGCUGUCGGCUAAUACCCGGCGGAACUGACGGUACCUGAGGAAUAAGCACCGGCUAACUUCGUGCCAGCAGCCGCGGUAAUACGAAGGGUGCAAGCGUUAAUCGGAAUUACUGGGCGUAAAGCGUGCGUAGGCGGUUUCUUAAGUCUGCUGUGAAAUCCCCGGGCUCAACCUGGGAAUGGCAGUGGAUACUGGGAGGCUAGAGUGUGUCAGAGGGUGGUGAAUUCCCGGUGUAGCGGUGAAAUGCGUAGAGAUCGGGAGGAACAUCAGUGGCGAAGGCGGCCACCUGGGACAACACUGACGCUGAGGCACGAAAGCGUGGGGAGCAAAUAGGAUUAGAUACCCUGGUAGUCCACGCCCUAAACGAUGCGAACUGGAUGUUGGUCUCAACUCGGAGAUCAGUGUCGAAGCUAACGCGUUAAGUUCGCCGCCUGGGAGUACGGUCGCAAGACUGAAACUCAAAGGAAUUGACGGGGUCAUAGCUGUUUCCUG
Molecule: ribosomal RNA, 586 nt
Filed under: uncultured bacterium
Lineage: Bacteria
Description: partial 16S ribosomal RNA
Rfam family: Bacterial small subunit ribosomal RNA
Source: RNAcentral